RNAcentral lists this transfer RNA (65 nucleotides) under Semibalanus balanoides (northern acorn barnacle). Its description in RNAcentral is "tRNA-Asp". The record is from RNAcentral. Lineage: Eukaryota; Metazoa; Arthropoda; Thecostraca; Balanomorpha; Balanidae.
GAAAAUUUAGUUAACGUUAUAACCUUAGCUUGUCAUGCUAAAAUCGCCUCUUAAGGCAAUUUUCU